Molecule: ribosomal RNA, 251 nt
Filed under: uncultured prokaryote
Description: partial 16S ribosomal RNA
Rfam family: Bacterial small subunit ribosomal RNA
Source: RNAcentral
ACGUAGGGUGCGAGCGUUAAUCGGAAUUACUGGGCGUAAAGCGUGCGCAGGCGGUUUCGUAAGACAGAUGUGAAAUCCCCGGGCUUAACCUGGGAACUGCGUUUGUGACUGCGAGACUUGAGUGCGGCAGAGGGGGGUGGAAUUCCGCGUGUAGCAGUGAAAUGCGUAGAGAUGCGGAGGAACACCGAUGGCGAAGGCAGCCUCCUGGGACAUGACUGACGCUCAGGUACGAAAGCGUGGGGAGCAAACAG